RNAcentral lists this ribosomal RNA (498 nucleotides) under uncultured bacterium. RNAcentral's name for it is "partial 16S ribosomal RNA". It matches the Rfam family "Bacterial small subunit ribosomal RNA", at positions 30 to 523 of the family's 1533-position model. The record is from RNAcentral.
AUUGAACGCUGGCGGCAUGCCUUACACAUGCAAGUCGAACGGUAACAGGUCUUCGGAUGCUGACGAGUGGCGAACGGGUGAGUAAUACAUCGGAACGUGCCUAGUAGUGGGGGAUAACUACUCGAAAGAGUGGCUAAUACCGCAUGAGAUCUACUGAUGAAAGCAGGGGAUCGCAAGUAGUUGUGGUACUAGAGCGGCCGAUGGGAGAUUAGGUAGUUGGUGGGAUAAAAGCUUACCAAGCCGACGAUCUGUAGCUGGUCUGAGAGGACGAUCAGCCACACUGGGACUGAGACACGGCCCAGACUCCUACGGGAGGCAGCAGUGGGGAAUUUUGGACAAUGGGCGAAAGCCUGAUCCAGCAAUGCCGCGUGCAGGAUGAAGGCCUUCGGGUUGUAAACUGCUUUUGUACGGAACGAAAAGCCCCGGGUUAAUACCCUGGGGUCAUGACGGUACCGUAAGAAUAAGCACCGGCUAACUACGUGCCAGCCGCCGCCGUAA